Molecule: long non-coding RNA, 365 nt
Organism: Synchiropus splendidus (mandarinfish)
Lineage: Eukaryota; Metazoa; Chordata; Actinopteri; Syngnathiformes; Callionymidae
Exons: 4
Source: RefSeq, a predicted model, not a curated record
CUAUUACAUACAGAAAUAUCACAUGCAGCUGUAAAUGAUUUUAUUUGUACUUUCUUAAUAUUUUAGUGAAUGUUCAUUGCAGUAUGUAUUUUUGCCUGAAGACGUAGUGGGCACAUCUGAUGAAUGCAGCCAUAUGGUUGGCGAUGACGGGUAUUACCCAGUGAAACGGGUAGUAAAAACAAAAAAACAAAAGGGGAAAAUAAUGGAACUAAUCGAGUGGGAGCCCUGCUCCAUGUGUGGAAAGAUAUUCCAACUUGAGCGGGUACGGAUGGAAGAAACCAAAAAAAAAACAAUUUGUAAAUAAUAAUAAAUACAUCUGCAAAAGUGUGAUCUUGAUGUUGUUGUUGCAAUUCAUGCAUGCGUAC